GACCUCGUUAGCUAAGUUGUCAGAGCAGCAGGGCGUAAACCUGAAAGACCUGCGUUCGAAUCCCAGUCGAGGUCG
Molecule: non-coding RNA, 75 nt
Organism: Henosepilachna vigintioctopunctata
Lineage: Eukaryota; Metazoa; Arthropoda; Insecta; Coleoptera; Coccinellidae
Source: the annotation of a GenBank genome assembly